CUACGGGGGGCUGCAGUGGGGAAUAUUGCACAAUGGGCGCAAGCCUGAUGCAGCCAUGCCGCGUGUAUGAAGAAGGCCUUCGGGUUGUAAAGUACUUUCAGCGGGGAGGAAGGGAGUAAAGUUAAUACCUUUGCUCAUUGACGUUACCCGCAGAAGAAGCACCGGCUAACUCCGUGCCAGCGGCCGCGGUAAUACGGAGGGUGCAAGCGUUAAUCGGAAUUACUGGGCGUAAAGCGCACGCAGGCGGUUUGUUAAGUCAGAUGUGAAAUCCCCGGGCUCAACCUGGGAACUGCAUCUGAUACUGGCAAGCUUGAGUCUCGUAGAGGGGGGUAGAAUUCCAGGUGUAGCGGUGAAAUGCGUAGAGAUCUGGAGGAAUACCGGUGGCGAAGGCGGCCCCCUGGACGAAGACUGACGCUCAGGUGCGAAAGCGUGGGGAGCAAACAGGAUUAGAUCCCCUGUAGUC
Molecule: ribosomal RNA, 463 nt
Filed under: uncultured bacterium
Lineage: Bacteria
Description: partial 16S ribosomal RNA
Rfam family: Bacterial small subunit ribosomal RNA
Source: RNAcentral